UUUUUUUUUUUUUUUGCUCAUGAGUACCGUAUUCAGUUCCUCUACUUACCACAGUGUAAUCGAUUCUGUUGUGAAGUAUUUAUGAAAAACCAGUUUAUCACGCGACUACACUAUAGGUGGCGAUUGACAUUUCCAUCAAUUGUUGUCACUUCGUUGGUCAAGAUAUAUAAAACGCCUGGCUUCUGCAAGGAUGUUUUUGGCACAAUUCGACUUCGAAUUCCUUUUCUAAUUGUAAAGUUUCGCGCAUAAAAGCUGGUCUUGAACAACUGGUGAGAACUUGCUGGAGGAACCAGAAUUAGAGAGAAUGUGCUGACACGGGGCGGAUUUGAGAGCCUUUCAGUGUUAGGCUGCUAUAUCUAGGGAUCAAUGAUGUCUCCAAGAUGGGGCAACUGAUACCAGGGCAAACUCAAAUCGGAAAACUCCUAUCUGGGCCAUAACUGAUUAUCUAGGAACUGAUAUAGAACUGACAGUGACUGAUGUUAUUGCUGCUUAUGAACUGUCGGCGACGAUAGUUUACCACAAGAAUUUGUGACGUAAUUUGAAGGGACUUCCAUAGGACCCGGAAGAGGCGCUGGAAGAAGACUUCUGGCUCAGAUAUCUCCUGUUGAAAUAUGGAAUAUUGAAUCCAGAGAUCCAUAUUUCUGAGAAGACUUCAACUGGCAUGACAAGAACUAAAAUUAACCUUGAAGAAUUUCGCAAUGCCUUACAAAAUUCGGUUUCAUGGUAGCAUCCGAAUAUCUGGACAUUAAUACUCUAAAUCUGGAGGCGAUUUUGGCGCAGAAAAAAAAUUCGGAACGGAGUGAAACUUCAAAAGGAGGUUUACGAGGAGUGCAACCAGCGGCAGAUGCUUUUACUUGAAUUGUAGGAUCCUUGCCAGUAAAGAUUGAGUAAAUUCUCUCUAUAUUGAGUCUUCAAUGUUUUAAGUUUCCUUGCCCGCCUCCUCCCCCACCCCCCGCCAAAAAGUUUUGUAAAUUUUUAUUGUUUUAAAAAUUACUUUAUAUCUUAUGAUUGGUUCUAUAUAUCAGUUGACCGGGCAUGAGUUGUCCGAAGUGUGUUUUUCGGGAACGAGCUGUCCUGGUUUGUUUCUCUGGUAUGUUAACCUGCUAGGCUUUUAUCACUUAAUUUCCAAAUUGUCCAUGCUGCGCUUUUCAUUCAAAUCCUGAUAUGUUUGGAGGGUAGGUUCCUCUGAUAUUCUGUACUCGUAGACUUACCAUUUGCUUCUGUAUAUUUAAAACUAAAUAAAUAAUGGGUCUGUAA
This is a long non-coding RNA of Macrobrachium nipponense, 1257 nucleotides long. RefSeq lists it as uncharacterized. NCBI's taxonomy places the organism in Eukaryota, Metazoa, Arthropoda, Malacostraca, Decapoda, Palaemonidae. The transcript is spliced from 4 exons. The record is from RefSeq and is a predicted model, not a curated record.